RNAcentral lists this transfer RNA (71 nucleotides) under Patescibacteria group bacterium. RNAcentral describes it as "tRNA-Trp". It matches the Rfam family "tRNA". From Rfam's summary of the family: Transfer RNA (tRNA) molecules are approximately 80 nucleotides in length. Their secondary structure includes four short double-helical elements and three loops (D, anti-codon, and T loops). The record is from RNAcentral.
GCGGGCUUGGUAUAGUGGUAUUACAUUCGUCUCCAAAACGAAUAACGGGGGUUCGAUUCCCUCAGCCCGUG